ACCUCGAUGGCUCAGCCGGAUAGAGCAUCUGCCAUAUAAGCAGGAGAGCCCGGAUUCGAGUCCCGGUCGAGGCA
Schistocerca nitens (vagrant locust) is the source of this 74-nucleotide non-coding RNA. The record is from the annotation of a RefSeq genome assembly. Lineage: Eukaryota; Metazoa; Arthropoda; Insecta; Orthoptera; Acrididae.